Molecule: long non-coding RNA, 1245 nt
Organism: Labrus mixtus (cuckoo wrasse)
Lineage: Eukaryota; Metazoa; Chordata; Actinopteri; Labriformes; Labridae
Exons: 2
Source: RefSeq, a predicted model, not a curated record
UGUGUGCGAAAUGAAGAAGGUGAAGGAGGCAACUUUUACUACUUAUGUCUCAACUUUGAACCGCACUUUUCUUUUCUUUUUCUACACACACACCACCUCAUUCGCUCUGGUUCUGAUUUACCAGUACUAUGUCACCCUUCACCAGUAGCCCCCCUCCUCCUACUGUGUGUGUGUGUGUGUGUGUGUGUGUGUGUGUGUGUGUGUGUGUGUGUGUGUGUGUGUGUGUGUGAGGGCUGCAUAAAGGGCUCUUUAUUCGCGUCGGACAGGGAGAGGAAAUCAGCUUUAGAAGUAAAAACAGAGGGAGCAGGAGAGAGAUGGAGACCACAGGGCUGCACAUCUGGAGUUAUUACAAGGCUUCCUCCCGCUUGCCAGGAAAACGCCGACAUUCCUGCCCUCGCUACAAAGACCGAGGAGCCUCUACUCUCAUCCAGACCCCCUCCUACACGCACAUCCAUCACUUCACAACCACAUAUACACUCACAUGUACCAUGAGAAGACACGCUGGACGCAAGAAAAGGACACCCAUUCACAUAUUGUGCUUCCACGUGAGCUCACAAACGCAGACAUCCUCCCCAUCUAACCAACAUACGCUUCCACUAAAAGUAGUUCCCUCCCUCAUGCAGCCAAUCCUUCACUCCCUUUCCAAACUUCCUGUUCACCUUUGGCCUUCCACUUUCUCCUAAAAAUCCAGAGAAGAAAGGAAGAAGAAAAAGAGGGAGGGGAGGUAAGGAGGAAAAAAGCCAGACAGAGGGGAGGAGAGAGUAAAAAGAAGAGAGGAGAGAAAAAAAAUGGGGGGGCCGGCGAGCUCCUCCUCCUCCUCCUUCUUCUCUCCCCAUAUCUCCUCUCUCUCUCUCCUCCCUUUUUCUUCUUCUGUCUCUAGAAGAGGAAACUUGAUGGCUAAUGGUUUGCCACGUCGAGGCUCCAGCCGGUCCACUUCGCUUGUCUUUUUUUUUUCUUUUUUUUUUUACUCUGGGAGACUUCAAGAAGAAGAAGAAGAAGAAGAAGAAGUAACUUUCGGAAACACCAUCAGAUUGGUUUUGUCCAAAUAGUGUGGCGGUAAUCUCAGCGGAAAUCGACAUGGGGUGAAUCGUGGCAACGCGCGAAGAAGAAGAAGAAGAAGAAGGAGACACAACAAAUAUAAGUGAAGAAGACGGGGCAUCGCUGAAGACAACAGGAUGUGCGGAGGAGAAGAUGAAUCGUCGAAUCGAAAAGUUAUGUCAGGAUUUUCGCCUCUCGCAGCGGGGG